GCCCGCUUAGCUCAGUUGGUCAGAGCAACGGAUUCUUAAUCCGUGGGUCCUAGGUUCAAGUCCUAGAGCGGGCACCA
This 77-nucleotide transfer RNA is filed under the name Planctomycetota bacterium. Its description in RNAcentral is "Planctomycetes bacterium (activated sludge metagenome) tRNA-Lys". It matches the Rfam family "tRNA". Rfam says of the family: Transfer RNA (tRNA) molecules are approximately 80 nucleotides in length. Their secondary structure includes four short double-helical elements and three loops (D, anti-codon, and T loops). Further hydrogen bonds mediate the characteristic L-shaped molecular structure. tRNAs have two regions of fundamental functional importance: the anti-codon, which is responsible for specific mRNA codon recognition, and the 3' end, to which the tRNAs corresponding amino acid is attached (by aminoacyl-tRNA synthetases). tRNAs cope with the degeneracy of the genetic code in two manners: having more than one tRNA (with a specific anti-codon) for a particular amino acid; and 'wobble' base-pairing, i.e. permitting non-standard base-pairing at the 3rd anti-codon position. The record is from RNAcentral. Lineage: Bacteria; Pseudomonadati; Planctomycetota.